This 601-nucleotide ribosomal RNA is filed under the name uncultured bacterium. Its description in RNAcentral is "bacterial SSU rRNA". It matches the Rfam family "Bacterial small subunit ribosomal RNA", at positions 819 to 1419 of the family's 1533-position model. The record is from RNAcentral.
GGAGGUUGUUCCCUUGAGGAGUGGCUUCCGGAGCUAACGCGUUAAGUCGACCGCCUGGGGAGUACGGCCGCAAGGUUAAAACUCAAAUGAAUUGACGGGGGCCCGCACAAGCGGUGGAGCAUGUGGUUUAAUUCGAUGCAACGCGAAGAACCUUACCUACUCUUGACAUCCACGGAAUUCGGCAGAGAUGCCUUAGUGCCUUCGGGAACCGUGAGACAGGUGCUGCAUGGCUGUCGUCAGCUCGUGUUGUGAAAUGUUGGGUUAAGUCCCGCAACGAGCGCAACCCUUAUCCUUUGUUGCCAGCGCGUGAUGGCGGGAACUCAAAGGAGACUGCCGGUGAUAAACCGGAGGAAGGUGGGGAUGACGUCAAGUCAUCAUGGCCCUUACGAGUAGGGCUACACACGUGCUACAAUGGCGCAUACAAAGAGAAGCGACCUCGCGAGAGCAAGCGGACCUCACAAAGUGCGUCGUAGUCCGGAUCGGAGUCUGCAACUCGACUCCGUGAAGUCGGAAUCGCUAGUAAUCGUGGAUCAGAAUGCCACGGUGAAUACGUUCCCGGGCCUUGUACACACCGCCCGUCACACCAUGGGAGUGGGUUGCA